CCACUGGCAUGCCUUAGUACGGCGAGUGAGCGGCAAUAGCUCAAAUUUGAAAGCUGGCGUCUUCGACGUCCGCGUUGUAAUUUGUAGAGGAUGCUUCGGCGAAGACUCCUGCCUAAGUCCCCUGGAACGGGGCGUCAUAGAGGGUGAGAAUCCCGUAUGUGGCGGGCAGUCUAAGCCAUGUGAAGCUCCUUCGACGAGUCGAGUUGUUUGGGAAUGCAGCUCUAAAUGGGAGGUAAAUUUCUUCUAAAGCUAAAUAUUGGCCAGAGACCGAUAGCGCACAAGUAGAGUGAUCGAAAGAUGAAAAGCACUUUGGAAAGAGAGUUAAAAAGUACGUGAAAUUGUUGAAAGGGAAGCGCUUGCAACCAGACUCGCUCGUAGUUGCUCAGCCGGCCUCUUGGCCGGUGUACUCUUCUACGAUCGGGCCAGCAUCAGUUCGGGCGGCAGGAUAAAGGUGUCGGGAAUGUAGCACCCUUCGGGGUGUGUUAUAGCCCGGCGCGGAAUGCUGCCAGCCUGGACUGAGGAUCUCGCUUCGGCAAGGAUGCUGGCGUAAUGGUUGUAAGCGGCCCGUCUUGAACAACGGACCAAA
This 586-nucleotide ribosomal RNA is filed under the name fungal sp. SNB-LAP1-7-73. RNAcentral's name for it is "eukaryotic LSU rRNA". It matches the Rfam family "Eukaryotic large subunit ribosomal RNA", at positions 66 to 670 of the family's 3401-position model. The record is from RNAcentral. Lineage: Eukaryota; Fungi.